RNAcentral lists this ribosomal RNA (810 nucleotides) under uncultured Anoxybacillus sp. RNAcentral's name for it is "bacterial SSU rRNA". It matches the Rfam family "Bacterial small subunit ribosomal RNA", at positions 1 to 815 of the family's 1533-position model. Lineage: Bacteria; Bacillati; Bacillota; Bacilli; Caryophanales; Anoxybacillaceae. The record is from RNAcentral.
UAGAGUUUGAUCCUGGCUCAGGACGAACGCUGGCGGCGUGCCUAAUACAUGCAAGUCGAGCGGAUCAAUAGAGCUUGCUCCUGUUGGUUAGCGGCGGACGGGUGAGUAACACGUGGGCACCUGCCUGUAAGACUGGGAUAACACCGGGAAACCGGUGCUAAUACCGGAUAAUCCUUUUCCUCUCAUGAGGAAAAGCUGAAAGUCGGUUUCGGCUGACACUUACGAUGGGCCCGCGGCGCAUUAGCUAGUUGGUGAGGUAACGGCUCACCAAGGCGACGAUGCGUAGCCGACCUGAGAGGGUGAUCGGCCACACUGGGACUGAACACGGCCCAACUCCUACGGGAGGCAGCAGUAGGGAAUCUUCCACAAUGGACGAAAGUCUGAUGGAGCAACGCCGCGUGAGCGAUGAAGGCCUUCGGGUCGUAAAGCUCUGUUGUUAGGGAAGAACAAGUACCGGAGUAACUGCCGGUACCUUGACGGUACCUAACCAGAAAGCCACGGCUAACUACGUGCCAGCAGCCGCGGUAAUACGUAGGUGGCAAGCGUUGUCCGGAAUUAUUGGGCGUAAAGCGCGCGCAGGCGGUCCUUUAAGUCUGAUGUGAAAGCCCACGGCUCACCGUGGAGGGUCAUUGGAACUGGGGGACUUGAGUACAGAAAGGAGAGCGGAAUUCCCGUGUAGCGGUGAAAUGCUAAGAUGUGGAGGAACACCAGUGGCGAGGGCGGCUUUCUGGUCUGUACUGACCUGAGCGCGAAAGCGUGGGGAGCAAACAGGAUUAAUACCCUGGUAGUCCACGCCGUAAACGAUGAGUG